This 7231-nucleotide ribosomal RNA is filed under the name Triticum aestivum (bread wheat). Its description in RNAcentral is "partial small subunit ribosomal RNA". The record is from RNAcentral. Lineage: Eukaryota; Viridiplantae; Streptophyta; Magnoliopsida; Poales; Poaceae.
GGGCUGCGAGGGGGGGUGUAAUUUUUUUUCUCUCUUUUUAGGCGUCCGGCCUUCGGUUCCAAUCCAGAACUGGCGGGGUGGCCUUGGUGGGCGUCGGGCAGCGGCCGCCGGCAGGUGCCGCCGCUAGGCUGGGGCGCGGAGGGGCGCGCCGGAGGGAGCUGGGUCUAGAACGGCCCCUGCGUACUUCCUCGUCGCUUAGCCGGUCUAGAUCCUCCAAAGCCCGGCCAGGGCAGUACGUCGGGCCGCCCCGCGGGAGGCCGUCGAGCGGCCGGAGCAGCGGCGCCGGCCUCGUCGGCCGGUGCCGCAGCGUCGUCGUCGUCCGCGUCGUGGAUCCCAAGCGGUCCUUAGUCCGUUACUACGUCGUUGUCGUCGUCGUCGUCGUUAGGAUGGUCCGGCCAUACGGCGUACCAUACUACCCGCCUCCCCCGCCGAAGGGGGUCAGGAGCCCGGGCUACCCCGGCAAGGUCCCGGUCUCCCCGGACGGGGUCGGGCCACCUGGCGUCCCGGACCAACGCCCGGUCGUCAUGUUGGUCUCGUGUUACGUCGUCGUCCGUAUGUACGUCAAAGACUACGUCGUCGUCUUCAGGGUACCCUACGUUGAGGUCGUCGUCGUCGUCGUCCGGUUUUACUUAUACCGUCCUGGCAGGUGUUCCCCCCUGGUCCUACGCCGACGGUUGGGGCACUUCUACGUCCUCGAGUACAGGGAAGUCCGGGUCCGGGUCCGGGUCCGAGUCCGAGUCCGAGUCCGAGUCCGGGUCCGUGUCCGCGUCCGCGUCUACGAAUUCUCUGUCAGGCUCGUAGAAGUCGUCCGCCUCUUCGUCGGUCUCGUCCCCGUCGCCCGGCCAUCGUCGCUCGUUUCCUCGCCACUGUACUCCGGAGGAUACGGUGGUGUUCCUUAGGGACCCGUCGUCUACGGUAGUCGACCAUACCACUCCGGCUACGUCGGUUACGUUCCAGUUCACCCGUACCGGUCGUACCCACCAUAGGGCAACGUUCGAUAGGUACGGACCCGUUUCCUCGUCUUUUAGCUAGACAGACUAGGACGUUUACGUUCAGAGUAAAGAGUUUAGUAUGGAUAGACCGUCAGGUCCUACCGGCGGUACGUCUUCGUCUUGUGCUGUUUGUACCGACGUGUCGUCGUCGUCGUCGUCGUCGUUGUCGUCGUCGUUGUCGUCGUCGUUGUCGUCGUCGUUGUUGUCGUCGUCUUAGUCGUUUACGAAGGAUCCGUCCACUUGUCACUACGGGGUCAUUUACCCUUAUUAGGACCAGUCCGAGGUAACUUCGGGGCCGUCGGAGGGGACGGAUCAAGAAGACAAAGACGACCUCGUCUCUGUUUCUACCGCUUAGGCUCGUUGAACGUCUACGUCGUCGUCAAAAGACGGGUUUCAAGUUUACUCUCCCGACACUCCGGCGGGUACUGUUACCCGUUGCGGCCCGUUUACUACGUAUACUGGGUUUCAAGACCUGUGCCCUUAUUCUAAAGACUCGUCGGGUUAGGUUUCUUAUGGGAACGCUCAAGUCUUCGCUACGUCGACGUCAUACGUUCUGUCAACGUCGUCCGAUUAGCUCGAUGGCGGGGAUGUCGUUGAGGACCACUUUGUCCUCCUAGUGUCCGGGGUUGAGUUCCACCAGCCGGCUUAAGCUUAAAGUGUUUUGUAGUUGAAGUACAUGAAUUUCGAGUUUAUAAUCGAAAAGCCGCAGACUUCGCACCACUGGCAUGUGAGGGUGGCCUUCAAGAACUUAAUUAGUACAGAGGAGGCGGUGACGGCCUGGGUGUCUGCGUCGACCAGAGACCUGGAGGUCAUUAUGGGUUAGCACUUUCCCGACGAAGUCAGUUACGACUACUUGUUCCUUCCGGGUACCUCUCACCACUAUUUCGAGGACUUUUUGGAGAUAACAACUUCCCUGGGAGAAAUGGUUUCGGCCUCCAAAGACGAAGCCUUCUCUUUUGACCAAGACGUUCACCGGGGUACGUUCACUGCCUUCAAGGUGGGUUCCUCGGAGAAUCUUAAAAUGGUCAAAGACGUGGACUUGUUUCAUUGUGACGAGGGUAAUUUAGGCUCGUCCUUGGUCUUUCCCCAUAGGUCUCUUGUGGACCCUCUUCACUAAUGUCACCACUUUCCCCUUUUAGACAUGGCUGACUAUCACCAAGCCGUCUACGACUCGUCCGUUUUUCUCGACGGAGAUGUUCAUCGCGUGGUAGAGGUUCCCUACAUGGGUCUUUUAUAGUACCGGGUAAUAAACUAAAGGGCAGGAAAUGAUCCUUUGUACUAAGGUACGGGGGACGUUUAAUGUUGCCAUCAGACCGUGAACCAAUACUGUACUUUCUAAAUAACCGAGUCCUUCCGUACUACCAAGAACCGUUCUUUGCUCUCCUAUUGAACUUUUUCUAAUCGCCGAACGAAAGUUAAUUAGAUCUCUCCUUUUCCUAGGCCGGUCUAGAACAAAACUCCGAUGUCUAACUUCUUUUUUUCGACUUUGAGGAUCUCGCGGUCCGAGCGUACUCCCUACUUCAACUUCUCCACGUUGUUCUUUAUUACCGCUACGGACUAUCCUAUAUGUCCUUCAAACAGUUCGUUACGCUCGCAGUUGCGCAGCUCGAAUAUUCCGUUCAAGUAGUCUACGUUUUCCGGAGCUCUCUCUUCGUCGACUUUAGGUAAAAGGUUACCGCGUUCUUCGAAAACCUUCGUGUAACCCGAUAAGCACUACGUGCUUAUUGAGCAUUGUCUCCCCACCGGUUCAUGGUACUUUCCUACAACUCCCUUAAGAGUUUCUUUUUCCUACUACUAGCUUCGUUUUCUUACCUCCGUGAUUUUUUGUUACUACACCUUGCUAUAGCAGUUUAUGAUAACCUUGUUGUUUGGUCACAAGGACCACUACGUCGAGUUUCUAUGUUACAAGAUAGAAGCAAGAAUAGGGUCUGACUUCUCAUGGAAAUAUUUGAGCCACCCUUUUAAUGACGAUGGUUCUUAGUCGUUGUUCAUCUUCUCCGUCGUUUACGACGUCGUCGUCGACGUGCCCGUGUCCCAGAAAGACUUCUUCUUCACUUCCGACGACGUGUUACACGACCGGUCCUCCAAUACUAUUCUUUGUGUAAGAGCCUCUACUUGCGUGGUUCCCUCCUUUUACGUAGACAAUUGUUCAUGAUAUACAAUCGAGUACGACACUGACUUUUUCAUUGUUUCGUCGGGAGUGAAAACUCUAAUCCUUGAAAUUCCCUGAUGGUUGACCACCCGGAAGUUACCUACGAAAGCGAGAUGUUAUUAUUUAACUUACCGUAAAACCGACUACUCUACCCAGAACCGUUCUGACAUGUCCAAUACCGUAACUAACGUAUGAACUACCUCAAAUUUCCCUUAAUACCUGGUGUAGAGUAUUAUCACGGUUUACGACAGAACCAGUUAACCUUCUCACUUGACGAUUUAACCAAUGGUAGGCGUAGAACGUAGAAAAUACAACCACGUUUCCUAGUUUCCGUUUUCAACAAGAGAGUUCUCCAAAACCGACAGUUUAAAUUACAAGAACACUGUUGUAUACUUAAGCAAUACAAACUAGCAAGAUUCGAAAGUUCUUAACUGACCUUCAUGUAAUAUUAACUACUCCGGGUUGCUUACUUCCUGUCUCUCAGUCAGAACCGGGCACUAGAACUAGCGAUAGCAACGGUCGCUGCAGAGGAAGAGUGACCGUGAGGAGAUGUCUUACUAGAGUUCCUCGAAACCAGGGAAGAUUUAAACAACGAAGGUCUUCACAAACUGUUGGCGUUCCGUAAAGUUCUAACCAAGAGUUUCGGAAAAGUCUCCCUACGAGGAUGUGGAUUGCUUCUUCUACUAACCAACCUCUGGCUCUUCUUUCAAUAAUAAUAAGUAUCCGAAGUAGUUUAAAACCUUGGAAAAUACGAUGCAUCCGCACAACUUCUACAACUUCCAAGUGAAGGUGCCUUCCUGAGAUAACAAAACUCCACGUUUUACAGACGGUAAGUUCCACGAUAUAUACUAACCUAGUUUAGGUGACCGUGGUAAUCUCAACUAGGCCUUCUACUCUUUUAUGCAUAGGUUUCUUUAGGUUACAUGGUCCGGUUCUGUAUAUUCUUAGAAGUUUUGUUUACGUACCUUGACUCCUUUCAGACGUUGGUAGGAAACGACAGUAUAGGGAAAUACUUAAUGAUGCCCUUCCUAAAAUAAUAGUCUAGAACGCCCUUCAACACCUUAGAACUAUCCUAAAAUUAGUUCGAAGUAUCUAGACCAGUGGCACAAGAGGAGAAAUCGUGAUACUGUUUUGAAGAACUGUAGGACCUCCUGAUAAACGUUACCUCCGUUGAACGAAUGUCCGCUUAACUACCUUGUUGAUCGAACCUCCUGGCACUUAGCCGUUAACAACUAAAAUUAUCCGGACCAAGACUCACAAAAUAUAAGAACGAAUCAUAGGCACGACGACCAUCUCCAGACUUAGAAGUCUCACGUCUGUGACAACAUUAAAUACUGGGGCUAGGGUUAGGUGUUUUACUUCUUGUUCGACAACGUUCCCGGGUAGCAUAUCCCGUCUGAUCCCUCCAUUUCCAAUAAAUGUACCUCCGGCAACAACUAUUGUAGAGUUCAAUAGUGUUUCUCCUACUUAACUCCUUGCCUCCUUCACCUCUAGACCUCCUACUGGAACGACCUUUCCUGUCUAUGUACCCAAGUUAGCUUUCAGAGUAGGCGUUAUUAUAUGUUGUUAUGUUUUAACUAUACCGUCUACUUCAGUAAUUACGACCAGCAAAACUAGUUUCUUGCUGGGUACUCCUUUCCGCGUACUGAGACCUCUGAGACGACGUACUACUUCUCUCCAUAGUUCUUUCAGAAGUACUACAAGGAAGCGAUGUCCUUCAAUUAGCAUACUAACGAGCCUGACUUCUCCUUCAGCUCGAGAAACUAGUCUACCUACUUCUUAAGCUAACCUGUCCUCUAUACUACUUUGUAUUAGUCCAAGGUUUCACCGAGGCGCAACCGAGAUGUCUACAACUGACACAACACCGCUCGAAUUGGUUUUUCGGACGGGCUUUACGUAGACCGUCACGAGGACUGUUACCACUGUUUGAGCUCUUUUCUUCCCCCGCUGGGUGCCCCAGACCAUUCAUGAGAUAGAUGUCCCUCAUACUUCUACUUCUACUACUCCUCAGGCUUCUUCUACUACUUCUCUCCUUAUGUGGUAGAGUGGGACUUCUUCUUCGUCCUCUUAGACUUCUCCUUCUCCUUUUACUACUAAGUCAUGGACUACUACUAUUGUUUCUAGUUAGCCUCCUUCUUCUCGGAUUGUUACUACUACCCAUGCUAGAAGUUGUUCCCUGUCCUUCACCUUUUCCAGUGUUCAGACUUCUUCGACCGAGAUGUCCUAGAAGUAGACCUUCGGCCUCUAAUGGUGGUGGCCGGGGAAGGAGUAGAAACUUCUUCAACGCCAGAGAUAGACGUAAUCUAAGGGCGGGUCCGUGAAAAAGUUUUUCUUGAAGUCUACUGAACCUCCUGCCUCUCUAACGUAAUAGUCCCCUGAGUGUAUACCUAGAUGUCGUUAGUCCUUCGACCUUGGUACUGGCCCUACUACCACUCCUACUUGUCCAGGACGUCGGUUUUUAUUUUGCGUUUUCCUCAGAGGCUUGAGCAGGUUCUGGAUCAUGGCUAUUUGUCCUUCUAUCUAGACCACGUCUACCAUGGAAGGGGGUUGCACCACGAGCGGAAAAUAAGGGUCCUCUACCACUAAUACUAAGUGUCGUUCUACGGGUACGAGAACGUCUAGGAUGAAGGUCCGUCGUUCUGUGUCAAGUAGGCCAUCACUUUGUCUUCGCAUUGUACGGUAGUCAUUUCCGAAGAGGACGAAGAUCCCGUCGCUUUAGAUGGGUGAACAGACCCAGACCCCUCCCUAGACGACUCGUGAGGUUCGUCUUAACCUCGUUGUUCCAGUAGUUAAGACGACCGUGUUUCUACAGACUGUCAUACGUCUCUUUCACAUUCUUACAUUAUUCGUUCGAAACCUCCUCUUAACCGUUUCUCCCUGUGGUUUUUUAUGGGUUGUAUCGAAGAACCACCGCUUCCUUACUUUUAAGAAGUAGGUUUCCACACCGACCUUCGUGGGAGCUGGAUGUCUUUUAGCUUAAUGCUCAACUACCUAAUCUCAUAUCGCCGCAUCGACUCAAGUAUCGCCUGUACGUCGUCUACAACUUCUCACACCAAGUUGUAAAGCCGAUGUCUGUACUCCAGGCCCAUCUUCGACUCUAAGAGGUGUUGGAUAAGAAGUUGUAUUACUUCUAGCGGAAGGGUCUGAGACUGAAGGUUCUCCACUUCCUGAGCGACAGCAAAAGCUUAGGGCCUCCACCACGUUCGUCGCGCCGACAGGGUAGUCGUUUCGUGGACCGAAGUCCGGACUUCGCGGCAAGGCGGUGGUGACUUCACCUCGUCGUACCAGGGCCGUCGCCGUUCGUGUCGGUAGUGCGCAGCCGGCCGCUCCGAGGAUCGGCCCGGUUUGGGCUCUCCCUGAGUUCCGUAAGUCCUGGUCCGUCGUCCCUGGUCUCGGAGCUGUCGGGUCCCGACGGCGACGUGGGACCGCUGGACAAGUAGCGGUUCUUCUUCUCCGUUCUGGCCCGAGCCAGGUCGUAGCCCAGCGGUAGGUCGAGUCCGGGGGCACCUGGCGAGAGGGGCUGGUUGUGACCGGCCAACCCGGGCCGCGGCAGCGGGUCUCCGCGCUCCUGUGGCAAGGUCUCCCUGAGAGUGGGCAGGGUCGUCAGGUACGGGCCCACCCCGCGCGUGAGCCUGGCGCCCCCCUCGAGCGGCGGGCCGUAGCCCCUGUAGGUGACCCGGUUCGGACGGUUCGCCGUCGCCUGGCUGUGUCCGUUCUCCGCCGGCUCGGUGAACACUGCGCUGCCCGUGUAAGAGGUACGUAGUAGUAGCGGCGGUACGCAGCGCCUGAAUGCCGGUACUCUUCUUCCCUUACGACACACCCAUCAUCCCUCAUACAACCCAUAAACAAACAAAUGACAUUUCUCCUUGUGAAGGAAAUUAUCGGAAACAAUACACCAUCCACCAAAUCACCACGUUGGUCUCCUACGUACACAAGAGUACACCUUCCCUGUCACUAUUACCUUUACUCGACCACAAAUCAAUUAUUAGUCAAUCAUUAAUAGUAGACAACAUACAAAGGUAUUCGUUUCAACAAUGGUCCUGGACUAUUUAAUUAAUUGUCGCGAAACGAAAGGUACGACGUAGCA